CAUUAUACUUAUGGAUGUGACUAUGAUAUGAAGGUAUUGGCAGCACAGUGAUGCAGUUGUUUCAGUCUAUUUUCCUGGGAAAGGAAAUAUGGAAAUAGGAACAAUUGCUUCCAACCUUUGGAUUUAUUGCAAUACAAUUAUUUGCUUUUUUCCUGGUUGAGUGAUAGUUUUGGCUUUUCCUGAUCUAUGUUCAGGGUAAACUAACAUAUGGAAGGAUUGGAGAAUGGAGGUUUGACAAAAGAUCCUUUGACAGUGUUGCACCCCCUAGGAACCUUUCGUUGCCUCCACCUGGUGUUCCAGAAAGUGUGGUAUGUUUCUUCUCCCUUGAUAGUCCUAACUUGUUGCAGAGUAGUACACGUGAAUUUUAACAUCAUCAAUUUAAAAAUAGGCCUGUGCAUUUUUUUUUUUCUGCUUGGAGUUUCUUACUUUUUUAUCCUUUCACUACGCACAAUGUUGGAUUUUUCCUAUAAUUACAUUGAAGUAAUGGAUGCAAUUGGCAUUUAGUUAUGCUUGCUGAGAGCAUUUCCAUACCAAGUCAAAAUCAAUUCUCAUCAGGGCAUUGCUGUUAGUGGUGGAUAGAAAAAGCAUUAUGUGUUAACUAAAUUUAAUUUACACAAAUUCUGCCUGGGCUUUGGACAAAUUAUGAAAUAAGUCCUUUUCCAUUAUGUCAAAUGGAUGUAAAAAUAAAAUACCAUGAAAUAUCAUUCCUUAAAGCAUUCUCAGAUCCAUUGCAGUAGUUAAUUCCAUUUUAAUGGUAGAAAAGAACAGUCUCAAUGUGAUAGCAGCUUUAGGGAUGGAACUUUGGUGGGAGGAGAGCCUUGCAUGUGGUUUAGGCAUGACCCUUCCAGCCUUGAAAUUACUCACUGAGGCUUUACUUGAACCUAACAUUUACAUUCUUUGGACAUUCAUGGACAAAUACAAGUGCUUGCUUUGGUUGUUAAAAGUAAGAUACUUCCCUUUAUACUGGUAUUGGUAUGUGAUUUGAGACCACUAGAAGAAAUAAUGAUUUUGCUUUGGUGUCUGUUUUGAAGUUUCUUGUCUUCACUUUUAAGUGAAAAAAAGAAUAUCAUAUCUGUUGCUUGCUCAGUGGAGCUUUACAAGUAAAUAUUACAUUGGCAGGUGACUUUGGUGAAAAUGGUGAAUGAAGCCACAGCAAAUAUUCCUAACUGGGGAUCAUAGAAGAUUUUAGGGUGGCAGCUGUCAAGACAUCACUAUUUAUU
This 1220-nucleotide unclassified non-coding RNA is filed under the name Hevea brasiliensis (rubber tree). Lineage: Eukaryota; Viridiplantae; Streptophyta; Magnoliopsida; Malpighiales; Euphorbiaceae. The record is from RNAcentral.